RNAcentral lists this long non-coding RNA (201 nucleotides) under Ricinus communis (castor bean). Its description in RNAcentral is "long non-coding RNA (RCOM_LNC000922)". The record is from RNAcentral. Lineage: Eukaryota; Viridiplantae; Streptophyta; Magnoliopsida; Malpighiales; Euphorbiaceae.
CAGAGCCUGGAGUUCUUCUUUCAUAGCCUUACACCAAUUAGGAUUGGUGUUAGCGUCAUAGAAGGAGGUGGGCUCUGUGUGUGAUGUGAGAGUGUUUAAAUAAGCCUUGUAUAAAGAUGAUACUGAAGUAUAACUGAUAUAGUGAUGAAUGGGAUACGAUACCGAAUUGGACACAUAAUCCUUUAGCCGAGCAGGAGGUCU